Molecule: non-coding RNA, 98 nt
Organism: Steccherinum ochraceum
Lineage: Eukaryota; Fungi; Basidiomycota; Agaricomycetes; Polyporales; Steccherinaceae
Source: the annotation of a GenBank genome assembly
GUCACUUUGCCGGAGUGGUUAACGGGAUCGCCUGCUAUUCUUCUGUGGCUCGUAGCGGUUGUGCUUUGCACGCGAGUGUUCGAAUCGCUCAGGUGACG